CCCUUAGAUGUUCUGGGCCGCUCGCGUGCUACACUGAGUGGAUCAGCGGGUCAGGUUGCGCGAAAGCGUUUCCUAAUCUUUAAAUCCGCUCGUGAUGGGGAUUGACGGUUGCAAUUUUCUGUCAUGAACGAGGAAUACCUUGUAAGCGCGGGUCAUCAUCCCGCGCUGAAUACGUCCCUGCCCUUUGUACACACCGCCCGUCGCUCCUACCGAUUGAGUGGUCCGGUGAGGCUUUGGGAUCUGAGCGGAAAGAGCGUUUCGCUGUUUCUGCUCGGAAAACUCAGUCGAACCUUAUCAUUUAGAGGAAGGAGAAGUCGUAACA
This 322-nucleotide ribosomal RNA is filed under the name uncultured eukaryote. Its description in RNAcentral is "partial 18S ribosomal RNA". It matches the Rfam family "Eukaryotic small subunit ribosomal RNA", at positions 1470 to 1796 of the family's 1831-position model. The record is from RNAcentral.